Molecule: ribosomal RNA, 1028 nt
Filed under: Bacillus amyloliquefaciens
Lineage: Bacteria; Bacillati; Bacillota; Bacilli; Caryophanales; Bacillaceae
Description: bacterial SSU rRNA
Rfam family: Bacterial small subunit ribosomal RNA
Source: RNAcentral
CAUGCGAGUCGAGCGGACAGAUGGGAGCUUGCUCCCUGAUGUUAGCGGCGGACGGGUGAGUAACACGUGGGUAACCUGCCUGUAAGACUGGGAUAACUCCGGGAAACCGGCGCUAAUACCGGAUGCUUGUUUGAACCGCAUGGUUCAGACAUAAAAGGUGGCUUCGGCUACCACUUACAGAUGGACCCGCGGCGCAUUAGCUAGUUGGUGAGGUAACGGCUCACCAAGGCAACGAUGCGUAGCCGACCUGAGAGGGUGAUCGGCCACACUGGGACUGACACACGGCCCAGACUCCUACGGGAGGCAGCAGUAGGGAAUCUUCCGCAAUGGACGAAAGUCUGACGGAGCAACGCCGCGUGAGUGAUGAAGGUUUUCGGAUCGUAAAGCUCUGUUGUUAGGGAAGAACAAGUGCCGUUCAAAUAGGGCGGCACCUUGACGGUACCUAACCAGAAAGCCACGGGUAACUACGUGCCAGCAGCCGCGGUAAUACGUAGGUGGCAAGCGUUGUCCGGAAUUAUUGGGCGUAAAGGGCUCGCAGGCGGUUUCUUAAGUCUGAUGUGAAAGCCCCCGGCUCAACCGGGGAGGGUCAUUGGAAACUGGGGAACUUGAGUGCAGAAGAGGAGAGUGGAAUUCCACGUGUAGCGGUGAAAUGCGUAGAGAUGUGGAGGAACACCAGUGGCGAAGGCGACUCUCUGGUCUGUAACUGACGCUGAGGAGCGAAAGCGUGGGGAGCGAACAGGAUUAGAUACCCUGGUAGUCCACGCCGUAAACGAUGAGUGCUAAGUGUUAGGGGGUUUCCGCCCCUUAGUGCUGCAGUUAACGCAUUAAGCACUCCGCCUGGGGAGUACGGUCGCAAGACUGAAACUCAAAGGAAUUGACGGGGGCCCGCACAAGCGGUGGAGCAUGUGGUUUAAUUCGAAGCAACGCGAAGAACCUUACCAGGUCUUGACAUCCUCUGACAAUCCUAGAGAUAGGACGUCCCCUUCGGGGGCAGAGUGACAGGUGGUGCAUGGUUGUCGUCAGCUCGU